Aegilops tauschii subsp. strangulata is the source of this 264-nucleotide non-coding RNA. Lineage: Eukaryota; Viridiplantae; Streptophyta; Magnoliopsida; Poales; Poaceae. The record is from RefSeq and is a predicted model, not a curated record.
CAGGAGGUUCCCUCGCGCCGGAGGCGCCGUGUCACAGCCCUAGGGACAACGCGCCGCACGAACCAGCACGCUGCACGACCAACACACACUUCGACCUAUGCCCCCCUUCAAGAUGUUUAUGAAAAUUAAACGAGCCGAAGGCGAGCAGGAGGUUCCCUCGCGCCGGAGGCGCCGUGUCACACCACGACGGACAAUGCGCCGCACGAACCAGCACGCUGCACAACGAACACACACUUCGACCUAUGCCCCCCUUCAAGAUGUUUA